RNAcentral lists this ribosomal RNA (501 nucleotides) under uncultured bacterium. RNAcentral's name for it is "partial 16S ribosomal RNA". It matches the Rfam family "Bacterial small subunit ribosomal RNA", at positions 30 to 523 of the family's 1533-position model. The record is from RNAcentral.
AUUGAACGCUGGCGGCAGGCUUAACACAUGCAAGUCGAGCGGGGAAGGGUAGCUUGCUACCUAACCUAGCGGCGGACGGGUGAGUAAUGCUUAGGAAUCUGCCAUUUAGUGGGGGACAACAUUCCGAAAGGAAUGCUAAUACCGCAUACGUCCUACGGGAGAAAGCAGGGGAUCUUCGGACCUUGCGCUAAAUGAUGAGCCUAAGUCGGAUUAGCUAGUUGGUGGGGUAGAGGCCUACCAAGGCGACGAUCUGUAGCGGGUCUGAGAGGAUGAUCCGCCACACUGGGACUGAGACACGGCCCAGACUCCUACGGGAGGUAGCAGUGGGGAAUAUUGGACAAUGGGCGGAAGCCUGAUCCAGCCAUGCCGCGUGUGUGAAGAAGGCCUUAUGGUUGUAAAGCACUUUAAGCGAGGAGGAGGCUACUAGUAUUAAUACUACUGGAUAGUGGACGUUACUCGCAGAAUAAGCACCGGCUAACUCUGUGCCAGCCGCCGCAGUAA